GAGACCGGACUUCCAUAGCAUAAUACAAAGUAUGUUGUGAGUUAAAACAACUCUUACAUAGUCUUAAUUCAAGGCAAUAGUGUCACUAUCAAACCGAACUUCAAAAGCACAGAGACACUUAAGUGAAUAGAAAAGCAAACGUAAUGCCAUCAAAACUGAUGGAUUAUUCUCCUCAAAUGGGGUUUUCUAGAUAUACCUAUGCUAUUGUGUAAAGCACAAACCAAAGGGAGACUGUUCAGAUGAACAGGUUUGUUAUAAGUGAUAGCACUUUAUUUAUCCAAAGAAGCCGCCACAGGACUUGCAAACAGACAUGGACUACACAAGAUUGUAUUAUGCAAAGGGCUUGUGAGUAGUCUACCGAGUUAUGCUCCAUAAAUGUUGAAUUACAACUCCAAUUUAUCGAAUCAUUAACUC
This 414-nucleotide long non-coding RNA is filed under the name Linum usitatissimum (flax). Its description in RNAcentral is "long non-coding RNA (LUSI_LNC001590)". The record is from RNAcentral. Lineage: Eukaryota; Viridiplantae; Streptophyta; Magnoliopsida; Malpighiales; Linaceae.